AAGCGGGGGAUCUUCGGACCUUGCGCGAUUGGAUGAGCCGAUGCCGGAUUAGCUUGUUGGCGGGGUAAUGGCCCACCAAGGCAACGAUCCGUAGCUGGUCUGAGAGGAUGAUCAGCCACACUGGGACUGAGACACGGCCCAGACUCCUACGGGAGGCAGCAGUGGGGAAUAUUGGACAAUGGGGGCAACCCUGAUCCAGCAAUGCCGCGUGUGUGAAGAAGGCCUUCGGGUUGUAAAGCACUUUUAUCGGGAACGAAACAUUGUCGGCUAAUACCCGGCAAGACUGACGGUACCCGAGGAAUAAGCACCGGCUAACUCCGUGCCAGCAGCCGCGGUAAU
This 339-nucleotide ribosomal RNA is filed under the name uncultured Gammaproteobacteria bacterium. RNAcentral's name for it is "bacterial SSU rRNA". It matches the Rfam family "Bacterial small subunit ribosomal RNA", at positions 202 to 524 of the family's 1533-position model. Lineage: Bacteria; Pseudomonadati; Pseudomonadota; Gammaproteobacteria. The record is from RNAcentral.